CAGGCCUAACACACUGCAAGUCGAGGGGUAGAAGGAGCUUGCUCCUUUGAGACCGGCGCACGGGUGCGUAACGCGUAUGCAAUCUGCCUUUUACAGGGGAAUAGCCCAGAGAAAUUUGGAUUAAUGCCCCAUAGCAUAUGGGAACCGCAUGGUUCUUAUAUUAAAGUCACAACGGUAAAAGAUGAGCAUGCGUCCCAUUAGCUAGUUGGUAAGGUAACGGCUUACCAAGGCGAUGAUGGGUAGGGGUCCUGAGAGGGAGAUCCCCCACACUGGUACUGAGACACGGACCAGACUCCUACGGGAGGCAGCAGUGAGGAAUAUUGGACAAUGGGCGCAAGCCUGAUCCAGCCAUGCCGCGUGCAGGAUGACGGUCCUAUGGAUUGUAAACUGCUUUUAUACGGGAAGAAACCCUCGGACGUGUCCGAGAUUGACGGUACCGUAGGAAUAAGGAUCGGCUAAAGCCGUGNCAGCAGCCGCGGUAAU
RNAcentral lists this ribosomal RNA (483 nucleotides) under uncultured bacterium. RNAcentral's name for it is "bacterial SSU rRNA". It matches the Rfam family "Bacterial small subunit ribosomal RNA", at positions 43 to 524 of the family's 1533-position model. The record is from RNAcentral.